RNAcentral lists this ribosomal RNA (253 nucleotides) under uncultured bacterium. RNAcentral describes it as "partial 16S ribosomal RNA". It matches the Rfam family "Bacterial small subunit ribosomal RNA", at positions 524 to 776 of the family's 1533-position model. The record is from RNAcentral.
GACGUAGGGCGCGAGCGUUGUCCGGAUUUAUUGGGCGUAAAGAGCUCGUAGGCGGCUUGUUGCGUCGACUGUGAAAACCCGCGGCUUAACUGCGGGCUUGCAGUUGAUACUGGCAGGCUAGAGUUCGGUAGGGGAGACUGGAAUUCCUGGUGUAGCGGUGAAAUGCGCAGAUAUCAGGAGGAACACCGGUGGCGAAGGCGGGUCUCUGGGCCGAUACUGACGCUGAGGAGCGAAAGCGUGGGGAGCGAACAGG